AUGCUCACUUCAGCAGCACAUAUACUAAAAUUGGAGCAAUACAGAGAAGAUUAGCAUGGCUCCUGCACAAGGGUGACAUGCAAAUUCGUGAAGAGGUACAUAUAAAA
This is a small nuclear RNA of Rhinopithecus bieti (black snub-nosed monkey), 107 nucleotides long. NCBI's taxonomy places the organism in Eukaryota, Metazoa, Chordata, Mammalia, Primates, Cercopithecidae. The record is from Ensembl.